This is a non-coding RNA of Mycena latifolia, 94 nucleotides long. The record is from the annotation of a GenBank genome assembly. NCBI's taxonomy places the organism in Eukaryota, Fungi, Basidiomycota, Agaricomycetes, Agaricales, Mycenaceae.
GGCCUGGUGGUGAAAUGGUAUCACAUCCCUACUUUAUGCCAUGGAUCCAGAUAGUUUCUAGGGAAGUUCCUUGUUCGAAUCAAGGUCAUGGCCG